Non-coding RNA from Macaca mulatta (Rhesus monkey), 1249 nucleotides. The record is from RefSeq and is a predicted model, not a curated record. Lineage: Eukaryota; Metazoa; Chordata; Mammalia; Primates; Cercopithecidae.
CCGGGCCUCAGGUGAUCCACCCGACUUGGCCUCCCAAAGUGCUAGAAUUACAGGCGUGAACCACCACGCCCGGUCAAGAUUUCUUAAUCUUAGUCUCUUCAUCUGGGAAGUAGGGAUGCCGAUCUUCUUCCCACCUCACAGGGCAGCAGCGAUGAAGAAGUGGGAUAAUAUAUGCCCAGCACCUGGCUCUGCGUCUGGUACACAGAAGGGGCUUCACUAACGUGCCUUCCCUUCCUCUUCCUGAUUCCACUCGCCUGGGUUUCUUCCUCACCCACCUGGGCAAGCACUACCGGAAGCCUUCCUACUCCCAGCUCUCGGUAGAUCCAGGAUCCACUGCUCGUCCCAGUUCUCCAGCUGACAGAUCACCUCAGAUAAGGGACUAAGGGCUUGCACAGACACUCAGAACACAGACAAAGCCCAAUCUUCAAGCUGUGUCCUACCCAGCAAGACCAUGUUCCUGUAGUUCUCCAGCAUCACAUCUCGGUAGAGGUCCUUCUGACCCCAGUCGAGGUGGCCCCACUCCUCUCUGGUGAAGUACAUCGCCACAUCCUCAAACGAGAGCAGCUCCUGGAAAAGUAGCUGAUAAAGAUGAGCGUUGAUUUCCCAGCACAGAAGACAGCACCUGGAGUGUACAGCAGUAGAUGCACGAUAAUGCUCAUGGACAGAAACAAUGGACAACUACUACAGUAACAAGAGCGACAACUUAACACAGUGCUGAACUGUAACCAGAUACUGUGCAAAGGACUUCACGGGGCAUUUGCCAUUGAAUCUUCACAACUCGCUGUGAUAGGCACUCUCAUUGACCCAAUUUAUAGAAAAGAAAACUGGAGCCAGAGUGUUUAUGUAACUUGCUGAAGGGAGCCCGUGUGACUCCAGAGGCUAAGCUCUCUACAUCGCACUGUCUAACAAGGGAAACUCCCCGCACUGAUGAAGAGGGCUCAACCUGAGGAAGGAGCUGCUGGUGGCAGUGACUAUGCUGAUGAAGCAGAGGGGGAGGCACAGCUCACCUUCCCCCUGGCUGGUGGGAACAUGGCUUCCACGGCCUGGUCUUUGACAAGGGGUGGGAUCCUGGGCGUCAGGCUGAGCUGGAGAAGAAAAAAAAGAUAGUAAGGCCAGCCCUAAUUUGAAGCUCUCUUGCUUGGCAGAUCUGGGACCAGGAAUACCAAUGGGGCCCACAGACAAAGCUUAAUACAAAGUCCCUGUGUUUGGUGGUGGAACAUGUGAUGAAAUACAUGAACCACUACAGUAA